GGAUGCGCACCGUUACGUCACAGAAGUGGCCACGGUUGCGCUGCUCGUUGAGGGUCUCGAGCACGGAAUUGCUGAAGUUGUGAAGGUUGAUGCUGUGAAUGCGCUCGGUCAUCCCCUUGCAACUGAUGUCACCUGCAGCAUGUCAACGCAGACACAAAACAGGGCAUGGGUCAGAUCUAGCUGGUUGCAUUCCUAACACCUAGGUUUCAGAGUAAAAAUACAGAGUCAGCUUGUGAUGGCAUUCCCUCAAAACAUGGAAGGAAUUGCAGUAAUGAAAGUCAUCAUGUAUUCUAAGAGACUGUUCUGCGAGAGCACAACACAGACGGGGCUAAAGCAGGGAUUGUCUAAGCCCAGUGUGGAGGAACCAUCAAGGAUUUCAGCACGUUUUUUUAGCCAUUGUGAGAAGCAAAAGUGCUCAGGAGUUAAGAGAAGCAGACGUCCGAAAUUAUCUCCAUGCAUUACCAAAAACCGUGGGCACCACGGCACGGGGAAAACUUACCAGGUACAAUGAGCCAGUGACUGUUACUGAAUUUCUUAAGAUUACACUUUUCCCAACUACUGCAGACUGCUUCAGAAUAGAAGAAGACAACUCUCAUGCCAUCAAGCCGACGGACUUUCAAAAAAAUAAAAGAUGCAUUUCUUUACUUCUUUACUAAGGGAAUUAAUUAUCUGGAAGAACAGGAACAUACAGGCCCAUGAGAAGUAAAAGCAGGCACUGGCAUUCUGCACAGAUGAAAUACUUCCUACGACAGGAAUACAUGCUCACUUGUGGACUUCUCUGUAAUCUGUAGGCAACAUCAGCUCCUGAUUUCUAGGUCUGGAUCUGGGUUCUCUGUAGCACAGGAAGGUCUCUACUUCUCCUACAUAAAUGCCUUGCAUGGCGGGAACUAAAUCAACUACACAGACCCAUACAUCCAGAGAGCAGAGGUGAGCUGGAUACAAGUGGCUUAGAGAUGUGGUGGAAGGAGGCCAGAGCUCCAAGGGAAGGGCAGCAAGGAGACAACAGCAUGGGUUGCAGCUCAGACAACAGGUAAAUAAAACCAAGCAAAGCUGCUGGUCACAGAUUUGACCAGGGUGGCAAGAAAUGACAAGCUACCAUGAGAUUCAACAGUGGCACGGAAGGAUGAUGAGAAGCAAACAGAUUAGGAGAAGCUGCCACCACCGUACAUAGAGGCACAGAUGACCAAGCAGAACAGCACCAGUCCCUGCAAGGUGUGCUCAGAUACAGCUCAGCACAGCCAUCUGGCCAGGAGGGAAUGAUAAUGCACAUGGUGUGCACUGCAGCCGGGAAGUUGAGAACCGCUGUGGGCACCUCAGGACUGAGUCUGGUUACCCUGCUGAUCCAAGAAAUGAAGCCAUCUAAAAUUUUGCCUGCUUUCACAAUUUUCUGUGUGUGUGUGUGUGUAUUAAACAAAGUGAACUAAGAAGCCUUUUAUUGGAGACAUAAUGUACUCACAGUAGUUUCAAAAUCAAUGGUGUCACUCUUCAGGUAAAUUACUCCAAG
Molecule: long non-coding RNA, 1504 nt
Filed under: Homo sapiens (human)
Lineage: Eukaryota; Metazoa; Chordata; Mammalia; Primates; Hominidae
Description: HSALNT0313883
Source: RNAcentral